GGAUCUCGAUGCCGCUGUCCAGGCCCUCGUCAACUUCGCCCCCCAAAGGUUUGAUGAUUUGGAACAUAUAAUUUUUGUGCCAGGGCUUUGUCUGGAUCGUGGAGCAGCUGCAGAUGGGUGAAGGGAGCCCCGCUGCUGGGUCAAGGCUGGAGUUGGCUGAGUGCACGAAUGAGGGAACAUGUGUUUGGUUAGAGUACUAGUAUUAAAGCGUACUACUCCCUCUUAUCCAUAGUAAAUGUUGUGGUUUUAGUUCUAGUUUGAACUAAAACCACGACACAUAUUAUUGCCUUGCAUGUAUGUUAUGGUUCAAUUGUUUUUGCUGUGUUA
Long non-coding RNA from Lolium rigidum, 327 nucleotides. RefSeq lists it as uncharacterized. Lineage: Eukaryota; Viridiplantae; Streptophyta; Magnoliopsida; Poales; Poaceae. The record is from RefSeq and is a predicted model, not a curated record. The transcript has 2 exons.